GCUCCCCUCUGCAAUCGUGCCUGAUUGAGCAUUACUGGGAAAUGCAGAAAUGUGGAGCCAGACUGGUACUGAGCAGUACAAGACUGAAGAUCUUUCUGUUAGUGGGUCUCACUCAGCACCAUCAGCUGAUAUCGCUUAAAGAGGUGCCAUGGUGAGAUUCACUGCAAAGCACAGGUAGAGAUAAAAAGGCUUCCUCUGGGAGCCAAGCAGCACAGAGGAGCUGGAGCCUUGGCAGGAGCAGGAGGUGCCCCGAGCAGCUCUGCAAGGAGUGAGUGCCCUCACUGCUCUGUCACCAGCAGUCCCUGGGAGCCAUCAGCACCCACCAGCCGUUCCCUGAGAUAAGGCCAAGCCAGCUGGGAGGAGAAUGCCUUUGAUAUUCCUGCCUUGCUGAGUAAGUAUGCCAUAACAAUAACACUGAACU
This 421-nucleotide long non-coding RNA is filed under the name Zonotrichia albicollis (white-throated sparrow). RNAcentral's name for it is "lncRNA (ENSZALG00000012074.1)". Lineage: Eukaryota; Metazoa; Chordata; Aves; Passeriformes; Passerellidae. The record is from RNAcentral.